CAUGCAUGAUUUUAUAAAUCGAGUAUAUAGUGAAAUUUUAAAAAUUUUUGGAUUAAAUUUAAUUUAAUCUAAGCAUGCAUAAAAUCAAAUCUUCAAACCAUAACAGGAUCAUCAUAUAUGAGAUAAGAUUUAUAUAUAAAAAUCAAACAAAAAAAAAUAAAUUUAAAACAUACCUAGACAUGGAUCAAUCUUCAACGUGAAC
This 202-nucleotide long non-coding RNA is filed under the name Elaeis guineensis (African oil palm). RNAcentral's name for it is "long non-coding RNA (EGUI_LNC049561)". The record is from RNAcentral. Lineage: Eukaryota; Viridiplantae; Streptophyta; Magnoliopsida; Arecales; Arecaceae.